GUCGAGCGGAAUGAUGAGAGCUUGCUCUCUGAUUUUAGCGGCGGACGGGUGAGUAACACGUGGGCAACCUGCCCUACAGAUGGGGAUAACUCCGGGAAACCGGGGCUAAUACCGAAUAAUCAGUUUGUCCGCAUGGACAAACUCUGAAAGACGGUUUCGGCUGUCACUGUAGGAUGGGCCCGCGGCGCAUUAGCUAGUUGGUGGGGUAAUGGCCUACCAAGGCGACGAUGCGUAGCCGACCUGAGAGGGUGAUCGGCCACACUGGGACUGAGACACGGCCCAGACUCCUACGGGAGGCAGCAGUAGGGAAUCUUCCACAAUGGACGAAAGUCUGAUGGAGCAAUGCCGCGUGAGCGAAGAAGGUUUUCGGAUCGUAAAGCUCUGUUGUAAGGGAAGAACACGUACGGGAGUAACUGCCCGUGCCAUGACGGUACCUUAUUAGAAAGCCACGGCUAACUACGUGCCAGCAGCCGCGGUAAUACGUAGGUGGCAAGCGUUGUCCGGAAUUAUUGGGCGUAAAGCGCGCGCAGGCGGUUCUUUAAGUCUGAUGUGAAAGCCCACGGCUCAACCGUGGAGGGUCAUUGGAAACUGGAGAACUUGAGUACAGAAGAGGAAAGCGGAAUUCCACGUGUAGCGGUGAAAUGCGUAGAGAUGUGGAGGAACACCAGUGGCGAA
This 675-nucleotide ribosomal RNA is filed under the name uncultured bacterium. Its description in RNAcentral is "bacterial SSU rRNA". It matches the Rfam family "Bacterial small subunit ribosomal RNA", at positions 61 to 719 of the family's 1533-position model. The record is from RNAcentral.